Long non-coding RNA from Canis lupus familiaris (dog), 3752 nucleotides. RefSeq lists it as uncharacterized. The transcript has 5 exons. Lineage: Eukaryota; Metazoa; Chordata; Mammalia; Carnivora; Canidae. The record is from RefSeq and is a predicted model, not a curated record.
AUUCUAUUUCCAAUAGUGGCCUAGCCAGAGAAUUAUUGUGACUUGCCACCAUUUUUCCUCUCUCAAGAUAAAGACAGGUUUACCCUGGGUAAAGGACAUUUCAACAUCAGGCACAAAAACCACCAAGCAAUGAACCAUUUCCACACAGGGAAGAGAAAACAAAUACAGCCUCGAUUUGGAAACGAAGCAGAGUUUAAUGCAUGUGAAAGAGUCCCAUGGAAAUGAACUGUAAUGGCCAGGAACCAUGAAAAUACACAUUUUGCAUAUUUCCCGUCCUGCUCCAGAAGAGGCUCACUCACUCUUCGCUCUCAUGGACCACCAUCUGGAAAGAAAGUGGGUGUUUUUGAUUAUGUCAGGUGGCAGACCCACAUUUCUUCCCGUCCCCUCUCCCCACAAGCAUUUGGAGUUGCUCGCUGCUGUUUUUCAGUAGGACAGGAUAUUUGGGGGACCUCAGGAGAAUACUUGGUUGCACACGUGGAGAGGGUCACCCCGUAGCCUAAGAACCUGGGAAUAAGCUGCAUCCUCGGGGACGUCCUACCUCUGGUUAUCUACCUACACAUAAGGUGACUGCCGACUAGAACCAGCAGAGGGCUGGAAAGAUCCCGGCCAGAAACACGCUCCUUCCUUCUCAGGAUGGCAUUUGCUUUAUUGCAACUUGGGUUUUGGUGAAGUUCUUCUCAGCUAAGUGACUUUAAGCCAAUCCCUUCCUUUCCUGAGCCUGAGACUGACCAGGUUCUAAGGUUCUUCUCAGCCCAGAAGUGUCUUCUCACUGCGGGCUCUUCCCAGGUGGCCCCGGGGGAUGCAACGCUGGUGCACACCUGCUUCCCCAACCGGUGGUGCUGGGAACCACCUACCCUGCUGGAGGUGAAGUCGCGGGUCUUGGCACGAAGCUUAUUGACUUGAGAUUCUGCAAUAUCAGCACGUUCUUCUGCCUCUUCGAGCUCAUGCUGAGCUUUGCGGAAUUUGGUGAGCCUCCUCCGCCUGCCUCUUGUAGGACUUGACUUUCACUUGGAGUUUAUCCACCAGGUCCUGUAACCUCAGCACGUUCUUUCUGUCCUCUUCACUCUAAAGGCAAGAACACAGCCUGUAGCUAGAAGAGGAGGGGGGAGUCACUUGAGGUCUGGCCAAUUUUCUGGGGCAGCAGGUGUCUCCCCCUCUUCUGGAGAGAGAACCCAGGGUGGUGUUUGUGCUUUAUAGAGAAAAUACCUAUCGGGCUUGCUUUCUCUUACCUGGUAAGUUAUUUUGUUUUAACGAUUUUAUUUAUUUUUUCAUGAGAGACACAGGCAGAGGGAGAAGCAGGCUCCCUGCGGGGAGCCCGAUGUGGGACUCGAUCCCAGGACCCCGGGAUCACGCCCUGAGCCAAAGGCAGAUGCUCAACCACUGAGCCACCCAGGCAUCCCUUACCUGGUGGGCGCUGGUGUCCUGCUCCUUCUUCAGCUCCUCGGCCAUCAUGGCCGCCUGUAAAUGCAGACAAAGACCAGGUGCCUUGUUGCUGAGCAGAGCCACGCUAGAGAAGGACAACAGGCAAGGCAGUGAUUGAGCCUACCCUUCCACAGUGGAACGUGAGAAGAGCUACGCUGGGGACAUAACCCAAGCAAUGCCAUGGCCAGGGACUGGAUGGAAAUUUUUGGUUUCUUCCCUUUCUUAAACUGGCCUCCUUGGGACCUUACUCUACCCACGCCUCCCCGCCCUGGCAAAUUCUUUAUUUCUUGUCACCAGUAUGUUUUCAAAGGAACCCAAGGCCUGGAGAAGACCCAGUUGGGACCCGCAUGGCAAGUUUGGGCAAGACUGGCCUGCACGGGGUGGUGGAUGCGGGGCUCAGGUCAGUAUAGGAUGUGAGGAGGACGUGAUGACUGGGAGGCCGUUUUGAAGGAAAGAAGAGUUCUGGAGGCCGGGCCCAGGAACCCCUCAGAUUUACUUCUGGAAAUGUGGAGACCUUAUUGUAAAGGAGUCAUGGCAAGCUAUGGUCAUGCCACCGGUAAGAUUAGGAAAUUCUUGGAAAUCUGGCUGCCCAUCGAGGUGAGGUCCAGUUUCUUCAUCAUGCCCUUCAUCAAGGGCACCACGGUCCUUCUGUGCUUUGUGAAGGCGGCCAGUUCUGUGUUCCUGAAGGUUCCUGUGUCCCAGAGAGUGAGUCUAAGGGAAGGCGGGCGGGGUACCGAGGCCUGCAGAAGCGCCAGCAGAAGAGGUGCAGGGGCCCCACCAGGCGGCAGGUGGCGCUGUGGAGCUGUGGCCGCCAGGGACCAGGCCGCUCAGGUGCAGGUGGGAGGGCUGGCGACCCGCCCUGUGAACUUGGGUGAGACCCCGAGACACCGGCAUCUGAGGGUCCCGUUUCCAUCUUUGCAAUAAGUCAGAUAUUGCAGGGAAGAAGAGCAUACCUCUCUGUGGGCUUUAGAAAAGGACUAUAGUCCUUUCUGGUCUUUUUUUUUUUUUUUCCUGUGCUUCAUUAUUUAUCAUUAUGGCCUUUUAAAUGUGCCGGAGGGGAUGUGCGGAGUUGGAUGGGAGGGGGAGGCGGAUUGUAGUUUGGGAGCACAAUGCAGCCGCGUGCCCUCCCCGCUCCGGGAAGGCCCCAACCUGCCUAGUGGGAGCUAUCUCGGGGUGGGGGAGCAGGAGGGGCUUCAGUGCGGCCGGAUGUGGCCGCCACACACAGGCAGAGGAUGGGACCCCUUACGUCUGUGAUGGCCUUCUUUGCCUUCUCCUCCGCAUUCCUCGCAUCCCUGCUGGCGUCUUCAACCUCGCUCUGGAGCUGUGUCAGGUCGGCCUCCAGCUUCCUCUUGGUGUGGAUGAGGCUGGUGUUCUAGGGCAGGAGGAGCGGUGUCACCUGGUGCGGGUCAGGUGUGGGUCUCUCCCCCCUGCCUGCCGGCCCCUCACCUGGGUGUGCAGCAGCUGCACCCUCUCGUUGGCAUCCAGGAGCUCCUGCUCAGCCAGCUUCCGAGCCCUCUCCGUCUGCUCCAGCGACGCCCGCAGCUCCUCCACCUCUGCCUGCAGCAGGUUGGCUCUGCGCUCCACCAUGGCCAGCUGCUCCUUGAGGUCCUCCUGGCCCCGGAGGGCGUCGUCCAGGUGGAGCUGGGUGUCCUGGCCAGACAAUCAGGGAGAGGAAGGUCUCGUCGGCAUUGAGACAUUGGAGCCUUGAGUCAAGUCUCUGUUUUUGAGUGUUUGCGGACAGGAGAGGUGUCCCCCCCACCCCCCGAGGAGCUGCCUCCAACCUUGAGCUGCCCCUGCACGCUCCGGAGGUGCUUGAGGGUCUCGGCUGCCUGGCGGUUGGCGUGGCUCAGCUGGAUCUCAAUCUCAUUCAGGUCCCCCUCCAUCUUCUUCUUGAGCCUGAUGGCCUCGUUCCGGCUCCGCACUUCGGCGUCCAGGGCGCUCUGCAUGGUCUCCACCGUCCUCUGGUAGUUCCUCUUCAGCUGCUCGAUCUCUUCGUCUUUCUCGGCAAUCUUCCUGUCGAUUUCUGAUUUCACCUGCGUCAGUUCAAGCUGGAUCCGGAGGAUCUUGGCCUCUUCAUGCUCAAGGGCGGCCUUGAGGGAACAAAAAUAAAACAGACUAGUGCCAGUGAAGGGACAGAGCCUGCUACACCACUGCCCAUUGUGAUGAUGAAGCUGCAUGGGUCAUUCACAACUGUAACUCUACAAUAUUCAAAACUCUCUUAAAAAAAAAAAAAUCCCUGGGGGCACCUGGGUGGCUCAGUCGGUGAAGCUCUGCCUUCCACUCAGGUCAUGAUCCUGGGGUCCUGGGACUGAGCCUGGUGUCGGCUCUCU